GUAUGUAGUUUAUCUGAUCUUGACAGAUAUGCCACAUAGGAAACGAAAAAGACAAAGAAAAACAGUAACGUAGAGGCUUCGCUCUCUUAAGCAUUUGCAUAAAUCUCAUAAAAUAGAAUUUCUGAGUUGGAAGACCCACCUCAAAGGCCAUCUCAUCCAGCCUACUUCUUUCUGGCAGAUGAUGAUACUUUCAUUUCUGUUUUAAUAUUUUUAGUUUUUCAAAUAAAAAAUAGACUUGCUGGAAAAUA
This is a long non-coding RNA of Mustela erminea (ermine), 248 nucleotides long. RefSeq lists it as uncharacterized. The record is from RefSeq and is a predicted model, not a curated record. NCBI's taxonomy places the organism in Eukaryota, Metazoa, Chordata, Mammalia, Carnivora, Mustelidae. The transcript has 2 exons.